This is an RNA transcript of Rhineura floridana, 1599 nucleotides long. It is a transcript of the gene named chemerin-like receptor 1, with no coding region annotated. NCBI's taxonomy places the organism in Eukaryota, Metazoa, Chordata, Lepidosauria, Squamata, Rhineuridae. The record is from RefSeq and is a predicted model, not a curated record. The transcript is spliced from 11 exons.
CAUUAAGCUCUCUUCAGACGAGGCGGAGAAGGAUUGACUGGGGAGAAAAGGUUUUAAUUGAGGCUCGAGAACACAGCGCGACGCUGCCCAAGUCCUUAAUUCCUGCUCUGACCACUGGGCGAUGCUCCCGUCGCGGCGGUGAGGAAACGCGAUCAUAAAGCCUUGGCUGCGAAAAAAGAAAGGUCCAGUUCUCGUAAGAUGCCAAGAGACUGGAGAGUUUGGCAUGGUUUCAAAAGGCGCUUAGAGAAAUCCGUAGAGGAGCUAUCCAAGCUCAUGGGUCUCCCCUGGAAGGAAAAUGAGAAUAUGUCCUUCUCUACACCAACAAUGAUGGUCCUGAUCCUUGCUUUUGUGUGCAAAGGUACGCUGAGCCACAAUCUGGGUUAUAGGCUGACGUCUCCUGCCUCUGUCUCCGUGCAGCGAGGCCUUUGCGUCCACAUUCCCUGCCACUUCACUUACGCCGCCCCACAUCAGACCGUCUCUGGCACGCUGUAUGGCUACUGGUUCAAGAACAACAAAGGGUCCUGGUACUAUUUCUACCCAAACAACCACUACGUCCAGGGUCUCCUUGUGGUCACCAAUGACAAGAGGCAACCGGUCGAGAGGUCCGCUGUUGGCCGUUUCCACCUGACGGGAGACCCGGCAGAAAGCAACUGCUCCUUCAGCAUCAACGAUGCCAAGUUUGAGGACAAGGGAACGUAUUACUUCAGAAUUGAAAGGGGAAAUUUAAGAUACACCUUUAUCACUAACCAGGCUGCGUCUGCUUCGCUUCACGUUGUUGUAACAGAGCUGACAGAGAAACCGAAGAUCUGGAACACGUCUGAGCUGGUUGUGGGGAAGCCAGUCACUGUCAUUUGUCAGGCACCAGGGAGCUGCUCAGGGACCCCACCCAAAAUCUCCUGGAGGACCGAGUCCAAAAGUUACAAGACCUCUCUAUUGCAUCAUCAACACAGCAGCAGGAGCUGGGCCUAUGAAUCAGAAAUCACCUUCCUGCCCUCCCUCGCUGACCAGGGCAAAGCUCUGACCUGCAGCGUCACCUAUCCCGCUGUAGGGGCAAGAGCUGAAGAAAGCAUCCACCUUCGCUUGGACUAUCAACCCCAGGACAUCAAGACUGUAGUGAACAUACAAAGGCCUGGAUGCCCUGGUUCAAGGGAAGAGGAAGAAGGUUUGGACCCCGUAGUGGCCUGGGAAGGUGACACUGUCAGAGUGAUCUGUCGUGCUGAAGGCAGGCCUGAUCCUUCCAUGGCCUGGAUGAAGGAGAACGAGAUUGUCACCAAAAUGAACCAGGGCAAAGCGCACACACUUCUAUUGCCCGAGAUCAGAUUACAGGAUGCUGGGGAAUAUCAGUGCCAAGCAAGGAAUCGGCUUGGCUUGACCAGCAAGACAAUUCGGGUGAUUGUGCAAUUCUGAGCAGAACACUUCCAGGCUACAGGCAGAAGUCAGAGGCACAGCAGAAGUCAUCAUCCUUGCAUAACGAAAAGUUGUGAAGCAAACAAGACCGUUCCACAAAGAUGAUUUGCCCUCUGAAAGGGACUAACAGAGAGGGAUCUUCGCCUGCCAAAUUCUGCCAACCCAUCUGUAAAAGACAAAUCACAGACUAGG